Molecule: ribosomal RNA, 170 nt
Filed under: Tarletonbeania crenularis
Lineage: Eukaryota; Metazoa; Chordata; Actinopteri; Myctophiformes; Myctophidae
Description: partial small subunit ribosomal RNA
Source: RNAcentral
CACCGCGGUCAAACGAGUGUGCCCAAGUGGACAAUCUACGGCGUAAGCGUGGUUAGGGAAACCCCACAACUAAAGUAGAACUAGCUCCGGGCUGUGAUACGCACCCGACACUGUGAAACCUCACCACGAAAGUGACUUUAACAACCCCUGAACCCACGAAAGCUGGGGAA